GUCGAGCGGUAACAUUUCUAGCUUGCUAGAAGAUGACGAGCGGCGGACGGGUGAGUAAUACUUAGGAAUCUACCUAGUAGUGGGGGAUAGCACGGGGAAACUCGUAUUAAUACCGCAUACGACCUACGGGAGAAAGGGGGCUGUUUACAGCUCUCGCUAUUAGAUGAGCCUAAGUCGGAUUAGCUAGAUGGUGGGGUAAAGGCCUACCAUGGCGACGAUCUGUAGCUGGUCUGAGAGGAUGAUCAGCCACACCGGAACUGAGACACGGUCCGGACUCCUACGGGAGGCAGCAGUGGGGAAUAUUGGACAAUGGGGGAAACCCUGAUCCAGCCAUGCCGCGUGUGUGAAGAAGGCCUUUUGGUUGUAAAGCACUUUAAGCAGUGAAGAAGACUCCGUGGUUAAUACCCAUGGACGAUGACAUUAGCUGCAGAAUAAGCACCGGCUAACUCUGUGCCAGCAGCCGCGGUAAUACAGAGGGUGCAAGCGUUAAUCGGAAUUACUGGGCGUAAAGGGAGCGUAGGUGGCUCUAUAAGUCAGAUGUGAAAUCCCCGGGCUCAACCUGGGAACUGCAUCUGAAACUGUAGAGCUAGAGUAUGUGAGAGGGAGGUAGAAUUUCAGGUGUAGCGGUGAAAUGCGUAGAGAUCUGAAGGAAUACCGAUGGCGAAGGCAGCCUCCUGGCAUAAUACUGACACUGAGGCUCGAAAGCGUGGGUAGCAAACA
RNAcentral lists this ribosomal RNA (720 nucleotides) under gamma proteobacterium GM40. Its description in RNAcentral is "bacterial SSU rRNA". It matches the Rfam family "Bacterial small subunit ribosomal RNA", at positions 61 to 774 of the family's 1533-position model. Lineage: Bacteria; Pseudomonadati; Pseudomonadota; Gammaproteobacteria. The record is from RNAcentral.